UUGGCCAAAAGAUUUUUUUUUCGAGUCAUCUAGGAAUGAGAAUACACAGGAUGCGAUCUCCUCUUACUAAGAGUGAUCGAUUCCAUAUCACCAUAUCUAGAACACCCCGUACAUGUCUUAAUGCCAUACCUGGUUAUGAACCAAAAUAUAGGUUCAUGUGCAUAAGAUUCUAUGGUGAUCUCAGGUCUAAGGAUCACUUACAUAACUUCCACUUAGAGAACCAUCUUUGACAUGUAAGUAAGGCUUCCAUAAGAUG
Molecule: long non-coding RNA, 256 nt
Filed under: Elaeis guineensis (African oil palm)
Lineage: Eukaryota; Viridiplantae; Streptophyta; Magnoliopsida; Arecales; Arecaceae
Description: long non-coding RNA (EGUI_LNC065508)
Source: RNAcentral